AAUUUGAUAAAUCCUUUGUUAUCCAUUUUGGUUUCCAUUAUUAUGGUGAAUCCCUUGGAGUCAAAGUUCUAUGCAAUAACUUAAAGAAUUCCUUUUUUUUUUUUUCAUUUUUUCACAGGUUCCAAGCCUCUCUGUCUUCCUGAAAUUCUGAGACAUCUUGACUGUCCUUGGGCAGCUUCACUGGGUUUGACAGCUGAGAAAGAGACUAUUUAGGACUAGUUGACUAUGACUGAUUCCUGGAAAUGAGUAGUGGCCUCCUUAUGUGAUAAAUGGAAGCUGGGGUAAUGAAGCAGCUCUAUUCAAAGUGAUCAGUCACUGUAGCAUCUGAAUAGACCAAAAGGCAUAAGACAGAAGAUCUACAACUAAUUUGGGCCUGAUAUUAGCAUUUAUUUGGCAUGGAUGCAAGGGGAAGUUGGAAGAGAGCCAGCUGUUAAACAUUUCCCUACACAUCUUUGGAUUAAACAAAAGAAGAAAAUGUCCCUUAUGGACAAAAAUAGUUAA
This 501-nucleotide long non-coding RNA is filed under the name Monodelphis domestica (gray short-tailed opossum). RNAcentral's name for it is "lncRNA (ENSMODG00000041140.1)". Lineage: Eukaryota; Metazoa; Chordata; Mammalia; Didelphimorphia; Didelphidae. The record is from RNAcentral.